Molecule: ribosomal RNA, 389 nt
Filed under: uncultured bacterium
Lineage: Bacteria
Description: bacterial SSU rRNA
Rfam family: Bacterial small subunit ribosomal RNA
Source: RNAcentral
GACGAACGCUGGCGGCGUGCCUAACACAUGCAAGUCGAGCGGGGUCCAUCCAGUGGCAACACUGGGGAAGACCUAGCGGCGAACGGGUGAGUAACACGUGAGGAACUUGCCCCGGAGUACGGGAUAACUCGAGGGAAACUCGAGCUAAUACCGUAUGCCCUCUUCUGGUCGCAUGGCCGGAUGAGGAAAGAUUUAUCGCUCCGGGAGAGCCUCGCGGCCUAUCAGCUAGUUGGUGGGGUAACGGCCCACCAAGGCAUCGACGGGUAGCUGGUCUGAGAGGACGAUCAGCACACUGGGACUGAGACACGGCCCAGACUCUACGGGAGGCAGCAGUGGGGAAUCUUGCGCAAUGGGCGAAAGCCUGACGCAGGCAACGCCGCGUGCGGGAU